RNAcentral lists this ribosomal RNA (301 nucleotides) under uncultured bacterium. RNAcentral describes it as "partial 16S ribosomal RNA". It matches the Rfam family "Bacterial small subunit ribosomal RNA", at positions 509 to 809 of the family's 1533-position model. The record is from RNAcentral.
CAGUAGCCGCGGUAAUACGUAGGUGGCAAGCGUUGUCCGGAAUUAUUGGGCGUAAAGGGCUCGCAGGCGGUUUCUUAAGUCUGAUGUGAAAGCCCCCGGCUCAACCGGGGAGGGUCAUUGGAAACUGGGAAACUUGAGUGCAGAAGAGGAGAGUGGAAUUCCACGUGUAGCGGUGAAAUGCGUAGAGAUGUGGAGGAACACCAGUGGCGAAGGCGACUCUCUGGUCUGUAACUGACGCUGAGGAGCGAAAGCGUGGGGAGCAAACAGGAUUAGAUACCCCUGUAGUCCCUGUCUCUUAUAA